CCUCCUCCUACGACGGACUACCUACCACUAGACCACGACGGAACGGUGAACUACGUACUUGCUACGACUGCUUUUUUAAUACGGAGUAUUUUUAUGUAUGUAAUAUAAGAACAAAACACACCGUAUGUAUGGAUGUAUAUGUAUACGAUCAUAUACUAACUCGAUAUCGAGUAGAAUUCGGAACUAAUUCCGUUAUCAUCACCGGUCCACUAUUUUCCUUCAGUAAGACAGUUGAUGGAAUACAUUAUGGGGGAGUUAGAUCUUAAUGAAUGUCGUUUUUACCUACGUAGAUUUACGUAAAAUCAAGAUCUAUAUAGGUAAAGAUACUGUUCAUUAAGGUCUACCUACUUAUACUAAAGAUUGACGUUCUAGACUGUGAACCUUCCUUUGGUUAGUUAUUUUCACCCAGGAGUGUACUAUCUCUAUCGAAUCUUCCUUGAUAACAUUCAGACGU
Molecule: ribosomal RNA, 454 nt
Filed under: Triticum aestivum (bread wheat)
Lineage: Eukaryota; Viridiplantae; Streptophyta; Magnoliopsida; Poales; Poaceae
Description: partial small subunit ribosomal RNA
Source: RNAcentral